Aegilops tauschii subsp. strangulata is the source of this 3561-nucleotide long non-coding RNA. RefSeq lists it as uncharacterized. The record is from RefSeq and is a predicted model, not a curated record. Lineage: Eukaryota; Viridiplantae; Streptophyta; Magnoliopsida; Poales; Poaceae.
AGGAGUACUCAAAGCAUGCAAGUUCGUAACGGACGGUGUACAUCACUCUUGUCGCGUUUGCGUUGCACCCGGCAUGCUAGACCCUCCAUGUCGCUCAACGAAUGGAACGUGCUUCGUCUUGCAUUUUCGCUCCCUUGUGGGACCGCAGUCACUACACCACGGCAAAACUUUAGGGGCAAUCAACUGCCGAGAAAGGUUAAGAAAUCGGGUCACUUACACUGCCGGGAAAGAUUUAUCUGCCAGGAAAAUAACUGUAGGGCGUGACAUCUGCCGGCAAUAAUUAACCUCUAAGGGCAGCCUAUCUGCCGGCAUUUUUUGCGUCAGACCAUCUGCCCUGGAAAGUAAACAAGGGCUGAUUCAUUGCCGGUAUGCACGUUGGCGGGCCUGAAAAUUUCGGCCCAGAAAGCGCGCGAGGAGCCGCGGGAGACACGAAACGAUAAGAAGGCACUGGAAGCGUCACGUAACCCUAACUUAUUUCCCCUUCCCGCAUCCAGUCCCUCAGCCGCCGCACUCACCAUCCCAUCGUCGUCGAGCUACAAGCAGCACCGCCGCCUCCCAGUGUCGUCGCCUCGGAUCCCCUCACCCACGCCGCCGCCCAGUGCCGUCGCCCCAUCCUUUCAUCCACACCGCCCCUUCCAGCAUCGCCCUACAGAUCCCGUAAUCGCCCACGCCAUCGCCUCCGCAUCCCCACCCACACCGUUGUCUUCGCAUCCCCCAUCCACGCCGCUGCUGGAGGUCAACCGCGAGUUCGGAGGCGACCUCCAUGAACCGCAUAGCGAUCUUGCCUCCGUCCACAGCACACAGUCGGCCUUGGCGUCAGCAGGUUCGUUCACCAUGGCGGCUGCACUGGUGGGGUGAGCCUGACCUUCGGUGCCCUCUCCCCGCCGUUGAACUCUCGUUGCUUAUGGUGUGCCUCUGCCAUCGUGGGCAAGCCUGCAGGUCUGACGCCCACCACCUCUCCAUUCUUCUGCUUUAAAUUUCCUUGGCAUGUGUUCGUACGCUGCUCCCUCUUAUACCUAUUUGUUCCUCUGUUUUGCUUCCUAUGAAUGCACGAAUAUUAACUGGAUGAGGGCUCUGUUCUGCUUCCAAUGAAAGUACGAAUAGUAACUGAAUGAGGGAUAAAGUUUAUUCUGAAUGGUUUGCGGGAGAGGGGAGCAGCAGGGAUAGUUUUGCUUCAUGAUAAAUAUGUACUACUAAAUAUUUGAAGAGGCUAUUCUCUCUAACUGAAUGGUCCAGAUGAGUUUUACUGCAUGAUAACUAUGUACUAAAUAUGUUCUGUUUUAGUCUCUCUUCCCCUCUUGGUAAAAUCAAAUUCAUAUGUCCUCUUUAGAAUUUCUGAAUUGAAAAGAGCCCUUUUAAUUCUGGUGUCGUUGCCUUAGGACACAAAUAAUAAAUCUAGUUGUUUUCAGAUAUUUUGUUUGCAAUUCUGCAUAUACAGGGAGCCAAUAGAUGUGACUGAAUAGGGACUUUUGUCAGUCUGCUGUUCUUGGUUGUUCAGAAAUGCAUGGCUCAAGUUUGCUCUGACUAGAAGCUUUGCAAUUCUGCAUUUACAGGGAGCCAAUAGAUGUGACCGAAUAUGGGCUUUUGUGGGUCUGCUGUUCUUGGUUGUUCAGAAAUGCAUUGCUAAAGUUUGUUUUAACUAUAAGCUGGUACUAGCAAAUGACAAUGUGGCCACAUGCCAUUGUGUCAAUUGAGUUUGAGUCAGCUAGCAUAAAGAUUUUUCUCUCAAAUGCAGUUCUUUAGUACUUAAUGCCACGUCUUGUGCCCUGUGGUGUUUCUGAAAUACUGAGAUGUCUUGCUGCUUUCAUUGCGUAUAUAAGAUGGCCGGGAGCUUGUAAAACUGCAUGUCAUAUCUGAUGUUUGCAAAUAUGAUUUUGUUGUUUGCCCCCCUCCCUGGAAGUAUGAUCUAAUUAAUUUAUCUACAUUUAACAUGACAAGUUCAAUGGGUCCUUCAAGUACGAUGGAUAAUGCAUCCUAUCAUUUAUGACUUUUUCCCUAUAACUAUCUUUUACAUGUAUUUAAUUUUCCUCUUUGCUCAUCUAAAUUUUAUAUUUAGGUAUAGAGAUAUCUAAUCUUGGUUUAUUAUGGGCGACAUGAAACUGUAUUCUGUGCAUUCUCACUGCCCAGUGUGGUACACCCCAGGCCCCAGCCAUCCCUGAAUUACAUGCAUCGUCCCUUGGGAGGUUCAGUCUGUAACAUUUCGAGAAUUAUGAGCAUUUUCCUAUGGGCUGAACUAUUUGGGUGUUGCUUCUACAGAGUGUUUGUGCAAGUAUAGUUUGUAAACUCUGUUUACUAUUGUACCCUCAUUUUUAUUAAAGAAAUGAUCAGUUUUAGCUUGCUGUACAUAAAUAUGCUUAAAUGCUCUAGCUCACAUUCAAUUGUUGUUGUACUAUUUGUCCAUACUAUAAUUAGAUAGAAGAAACGGCCUACCAUGCUUCCAUUUGAUUCUUGUGUGCAAGCCCAUAUUAUGAAAUGACAUAAGCAUGUUAGAUUCAAGGAAGUUGCUGGUACGUUAUACUAUAUGUCCUUCCCGAAGUACUAAAAAAUAGAAAAUGACACAUUUUCCUCUAUUUCAUCAUUCUAUCUAACAAAUCAUUUUUAUUUUUAUUGUACUGUGAUUAUUUAUGAGGUUAUGAUAUAUUUCAUCGAAUGACCACCAUGGUAGGCAUUUUGUAUCUUUGUUUAGUAUCGGACCAUCAUUGCUUGAUUAACUGGCAGACAAUCAUGAAAUUUACCUAUCAUUUUUGUAACCGCAGAUCACCUUACUUUAAUCAGGCAACAGAGGAAGGAAGUUGCAAAGAAGCAUGAAGAGAAUAAAGAUCUCUGCAUUUUUCCUGACUGAGGUAUGAAGGAAAUUUAUUUUUUGGUGGAAAAAUCUUUCUUCGAUGUCAGAUCACUAUAAAGGAUGAGUUGCUCCACAGUGUCAUCAACGAGUACAACCACGCCGUGCUCACUAUGAUGAUGCGCAAUACAAGCUCUUGCCCUGUAAGUAUCCUGGAGAAAGAUUUGCAUCCAGUUCUCCGGUUCAAGUUCAAGCUCUUGCCCUGCAAGUAUUUUCGAGAAGAUCUGCUACAGUUCUCCGAUCGGUGCUACUCCAUUGUCAAUGGCGCUUCUCCAGCAACAACACGCAGAUCAUCUACACUAGCAACAAACCACCUGGGACACGCAAAGGAAAACUAGAUUCUGUCUUUUCCACUUCAUCACAAACCAAGCAGAAAGUAAAUCUAUCUACUGACCAGUGUAGCCGUAGUACCUAGGUCUUAAGUUAUGUAAGACAAUCAUCCUAAAUAAAACAAUACUCCAUAGUAAGUCUCUCUUUCUCUUCCCUUGUGUGCUAUAAAAAAUUGAAAAGACAAAGCACACAAAUGUUUGCACAAAUUUUCGGAAGGCAACUCACAAAUAUAUCAGCAGAGCGCGGCGUGCCGCGGUGCACAACCUGCUAGUGUAUACCUAUGUAUGUUGUGAUGUGGUACUGGACUUCUGAACCUACAAAUGUAUAUCGAUGUAUGUAUGAAGACAUGAUGUAUUGUUGAGAUAUAUUAUGAUGCAACUUUAGCUCUA